Molecule: ribosomal RNA, 301 nt
Filed under: uncultured bacterium
Lineage: Bacteria
Description: partial 16S ribosomal RNA
Rfam family: Bacterial small subunit ribosomal RNA
Source: RNAcentral
CAGCCGCCACGGUAAUACGUAGGGUGCAAGCGUUAAUCGGAAUUACUGGGCGUAAAGCGUGCGCAGGCGGUUAUAUAAGACAGAUGUGAAAUCCCCGGGCUCAACCUGGGAACUGCACUUGUGACUGUAUAGCUAGAGUACGGCAGAGGGGGAUGGAAUUCCGCGUGUAGCAGUGAAAUGCGUAGAUAUGCGGAGGAACACCGAUGGCGAAGGCAAUCCCCUGGGCCUGUACUGACGCUCAUGCACGAAAGCGUGGGGAGCAAACAGGAUUAGAUACCCCCGUAGUCCCUGUCUCUUAUAC